This is a non-coding RNA of Parelaphostrongylus tenuis, 88 nucleotides long. The record is from the annotation of a GenBank genome assembly. Lineage: Eukaryota; Metazoa; Nematoda; Chromadorea; Rhabditida; Metastrongylidae.
GCCUCUGUGGUGUAGUGGUAGCACGCGUCCCCGGCAUGGAUGAAAUACGGGUUCAACUGCUGCCUGACUCUCAUACCCUUUGGGGACC